GUGAUUUCUGCUAAAGAAAUCUUUUGCAAGUCGUAAAACCANUAGUGAAUAAGGGGUGGGCAAGUUCUGGUGUCAGCCGCCGCGGUAAAACCAGCACCUCAAGUGGUCAGGAGGAUUAUUGGGCCUAAAGCAUCCGUAGCCGGCUCUGUUAGUUUUCGGUUAAAUCCAUGCGCUCAACGUAUGGGCUGCCGAGAAUACUGCAUAGCUAGGGAGUGGGAGAGGUAGACGGUACUCGGUAGGAAGGGGUAAAAUCCUUUGAUCUAUCGAUGACCACCUGUGGCGAAGGCGGUCUACCAGAACACGUUCGACGGUGAGGGAUGAAAGCUGGGGGAGCAAACCGGAUUAGAUACCCGGGUAGUCCCAGCUGUAAACGAUGCAGACUCGAUGAUGCAUUGGCAUAUAGCCAGUGCAGUGUCGCAGGGAAGCCGUUAAGUCUGCCGCCUGGGAAGUACGUACGCAAGUAUGAAACUUAAAGGAAUUGGCGGGGGAGCACCACAAGGGGUGAAGCCUGCGGUUCAAUUGGAGUCAACGCCAGAAAUCUUACCCGGAGAGACAGCAGAAUGAAGGUCAAGCUGAAGACUUUACCAGACAAGCUGAGAGGUGGUGCAUGGCCGUCGCCAGCUCGUGCCGUGAGAUGUCCUGUUAAGUCAGGUAACGAGCGAGAUCCCUGCCAUUAGUUGCUAUCAUUAUUCUCAGGAAUAGUGGAGCGAACUAGUGGGACUGCCGUUGUUAAAACGGAGGAAGGAAGGGGCUACGGCAGGUCAGUAUGCCCCGAAACUCUGGGGCCACACGCGGGCUGCAAUGGUAGUGACAAUGAGUUCCAAACUCGAAAGAGAGUGGCAAUCUCCAAACACUACCACAGUUAUGACUGAGGGCUGUAACUCGCCCUCACGAAUAUGGAAUCCCUAGUAACCGCGCGUCAUNACCACGCGGUGAAUACGUCCCUGCUCCUUGCACACACCGCCCGUCGU
Molecule: ribosomal RNA, 971 nt
Filed under: uncultured marine group I thaumarchaeote
Lineage: Archaea; Thermoproteati; Nitrososphaerota
Description: bacterial SSU rRNA
Rfam family: Archaeal small subunit ribosomal RNA
Source: RNAcentral